UAGAUUGAAGCCAGUUGAUUAGGGCAGUUAGCUGUUAACUAAAAAUUCAUGGGUUUAAGUCCCAUCAGUCUAGU
RNAcentral lists this transfer RNA (74 nucleotides) under Chrotopterus auritus. RNAcentral describes it as "tRNA-Asn". It matches the Rfam family "tRNA". Rfam says of the family: Transfer RNA (tRNA) molecules are approximately 80 nucleotides in length. Lineage: Eukaryota; Metazoa; Chordata; Mammalia; Chiroptera; Phyllostomidae. The record is from RNAcentral.